RNAcentral lists this long non-coding RNA (1785 nucleotides) under Homo sapiens (human). Its description in RNAcentral is "non-protein coding lnc-ATP6V1G2-DDX39B-2:1". Lineage: Eukaryota; Metazoa; Chordata; Mammalia; Primates; Hominidae. The record is from RNAcentral.
UCACUCUGGCUGAAUCCCUCACAGAUACCGGACCUUCUGUAAGUCUGUCCUCACCCUGGGGCCUAAUUCCUCCAGGCUAGCAGGAGGAUGGGCCUUGGGACUGUGGCCUCAGGCUCUGGGAUCCCCACAUUGAUGCUGAGGAGGGGGAUGUCAAGGGUGGACUCCUGGGUCAUGGGGCCAGGAGGGAACUCUCCGGGAUGGGCAGGCCGGGAGGCAGAGGGGGCAGCCCUGGCCCUGAGGGCUUCCUCUCCUGCCUAACUCCCACACCAGGCUCAGGCUUCUGUCAGAGGGCCCACUGCUUUCCCAGAUUACAACACUGGACAGUUCAGUCCCAGACCCACUGUCUUUAUCCAAUGGCUCUAACAGGAGAGGCAAAUCAGGACACAAUAUGCCAACAGGAAACGCCUGCAUCCAUAGCACAGGGAGGGUUUCCCCGGACAGAGCUGGGAGGCGAGGCAACUCUAGCAGAAUUGCGGGAACAGUAGAGCCCCUGGCCAGGGUCGGUACCUGUUCUCCUGAUGGCCACCCCGGAUUUCAGAUAUCGCUGUAGUUUCUGCAGGCAGUCUGCCUGCAUAGCGCGAUAGUGUGUCUUGGUCUUCAUGGCAUCUUCCUUCCAGAAAUUUGUGACGUUCAUAGCCAAGGUCUGAGCUCUGGAGGACUGGGGCACUGUCGAUUCUUGAGUCUCCAGGUUUUGGGAGAGGAAGAGCUCCCCAUCGUAGUAGAAAUGCCGGGAGCCCCUGGUGCUGCUGUCUUCAUGGAUCUCACAGACCCUAAUCUCCUGGAGGGAAUGCAAGCCUGCCCCCACCCAGCAGUGACUUCUCCAUUCCCGAACCCAUCACCUUUCCACCCAAGUGAGGAACUCAGCCCAGCAGCGACCCCUCCCUGGCCCUCCUCCAUGCCCAAAAAAAGAAAACUACAGGCCUAUAUCCCUGAUGAACAUUGAGGCAAAUAUCAUCAAUGAAAUACUAGCAAACCACAUUCAACAGUAUAUUAAAAAGAUCAUUCUUCAUGACCAAGUGGAAUGUAUUCCAGGUAUGCAUACACAAAUCAAUCAAUGUAAUACAUCGUAUCAACAGAAUAAAGGACAAAAGCCAUAUCACCAUUUCAAUUGAUACUGAAAAAGCAUUUGAUAAGUUUAACAUCCCUUCAUGAUAAAAACUCUAAAAAAACUGAGUAUACAAGGAACAGACCUCAAUAUAACAAAAGCCAUAUAUGACAACUCACAGCUAGUAACAUACUGAAUGGGGGAAAACUGAAAGCCUUUUCUUUAAGAUCUGGAACAAGACAAGGAUGACUACUUUCACUACAGUUAUGCAACACAAUACUGCAAGUCCUAGCUAGAGCAAUCUGACAGGAGAAGGAAAUAAAGGGCAUCAAAAUUGGAAAAGAAGAAGUCAAAUUAUCCUUGUUUGCACAUCAUGUGGUCUGAUAUUUGGAAAACCUAAAGACUCCACCAAAAAACUAUUAGAACUGAAGAACAAAUUCAGUAAAGUUGCAGGAUACAAAAUCAACAUGCAAAAAACAAUAGCACUUCUAUGUGCUAACAGCAAAUAAUCUGAAAAAGAAAUCAAGAAACGAAUCCCAUUUUCAUUAGCUACAAAUAAAAUAAAAUACCUAGGAAUAGACUUAACUGAAGAAGUGAAAGAUCUCUCCAAUAAAAACUAUAAAGCACUGAUGCAAAACAUUGAAGAGGACACAAAAAAUGGAAAAGGCAUUCCAUGUUCACGGACUGGAAGAAUCAAUGUUUAUUUUUAUUUUCUGAGAUGGAGUUUUGCUCCUGUUGCC